UACAAUGGCGUAAACAAAGGGAAGCAGCCCUGUGAAGGUGAGCAAACCCCAAAAUAACGUCCCAGUUCGGAUUGUAGUCUGCAACCCGACUACAUGAAGCUGGAAUCGCUAGUAAUCGCGAAUCAGCAUGUCGCGGUGAAUACGUUCCCGGGUCUUGUACACACCGCCCGUCACACCAUGGGAGUUGGUAACGCCCGAAGUCAGUGACCUAACCGAAAGGGAGGAGCUGCCGAAGGCGGGGCCGGUAACUGGGGUGAAGUCGUAACAAGGUACC
Molecule: ribosomal RNA, 274 nt
Filed under: uncultured bacterium
Lineage: Bacteria
Description: partial 16S ribosomal RNA
Rfam family: Bacterial small subunit ribosomal RNA
Source: RNAcentral